Molecule: ribosomal RNA, 279 nt
Filed under: Synechococcus sp. UW117
Lineage: Bacteria; Bacillati; Cyanobacteriota; Cyanophyceae; Synechococcales; Synechococcaceae
Description: partial 16S ribosomal RNA
Rfam family: Bacterial small subunit ribosomal RNA
Source: RNAcentral
UCGCGAGAGCUAGCAAUCCCAUAAACCGUGGCUCAGUUCAGAUCGUAGGCUGCAACUCGCCUACGUGAAGGAGGAAUCGCUAGUAAUCGCAGGUCAGCAUACUGCGGUGAAUACGUUCCCGGGCCUUGUACACACCGCCCGUCACACCAUGGAAGUUGGCCACGCCCGAAGCCGUUACUCCAACCCUUGUGGAGGAGGACGUCGAAGGUGGGGCUGAUGACUGGGGUGAAGUCGUAACAAGGUAGCCGUACCGGAAGGUGCGGCUGGAUCACCUCCUAA